AGAAGCAUCUGAAAGAUUCAAUGUUUCUACCUUGGAGACUUAGCCACAACUUACCUCACCUCAGGGACCACAUUCACCAUCCACAGCAAGAAUUAGGGUUCUUCUUCCAGUUAUGGGACCAAAACCCAUGCUCAUUUAUUCUAACUUACCCUCCAAUUGCAGAAGGAGUUGAGGUAUCUGCAGAGACAACCUGCUGAACCCCAAAACCAGUCUCAUCAAAUUGUGGCUCAGUUUAGCUUAACAACAAAUCUGUACUGAUUUGAAUCACAAAUUCAAAGCCAGCUUGCCACGAGGCAUUUUUUGUGAAGCCUUCCAAAGCACUUCUUUUUGCUUCUAAAAGAUAAUAUUUAGGUCCAUUGACUUCAGCAGAUGAUUGACACCAGAUGGCCCACCAUGUUUGAUAUUAUUACAUUAAGGACCAAGUAUAGCAGCCUCUGAAGAGAUCAGCAGCUGGGGAGCAUUUUGGAUAUCCAAAUUCCUAAUGACCCCAGAGUAGUAUUCCCAAACCUCUUGGCAGUUCCAAAUUUCAUGCCAAAAGUUGCAGGCAUCUGUCUUACAUUUUGAACAUUUGUCAUCAAUAUUCUUACUUAAUUUAAACAUCCGCUUAGGGGGGUCAUGUAUUCUCAAUGAAUAAAAUUAGCUGCAUGUAACCAAUCUGUGAAUUUGAGUUUAAUCAUAGAGCUCCGGUCUGGUUACAGAUGUCUUUGUCCAAGGACUGUAGUUUACUACUGAAUGCCUUCCCCAUUAGCUUGGGGAUUAUCAAGCAAGGAUUUAUACCGUGUAGAAACCCUUUUCCUUUCUAAAUACAUAACCGAAUGCUCUCACUGGGGGGAUUAAAUUCAGGCUCUCUGAAA
Passer domesticus (house sparrow) is the source of this 854-nucleotide long non-coding RNA. RefSeq lists it as uncharacterized. Lineage: Eukaryota; Metazoa; Chordata; Aves; Passeriformes; Passeridae. The transcript is spliced from 3 exons. The record is from RefSeq and is a predicted model, not a curated record.